Small nucleolar RNA from Heterocephalus glaber (naked mole-rat), 130 nucleotides. Its record names the gene SNORA70. It matches the Rfam family "Small nucleolar RNA SNORA70". From Rfam's summary of the family: snoRNA U70 seems to be exclusive to mammals and is a member of the H/ACA class of snoRNA which contain H (ANANNA) and ACA box motifs. H/ACA box snoRNAs are involved in the conversion of uridines to pseudouridines (5-ribosyluracil) a constituent of structural RNAs (transfer, ribosomal, small nuclear, and small nucleolar). The record is from Ensembl. Lineage: Eukaryota; Metazoa; Chordata; Mammalia; Rodentia; Bathyergidae.
CUGCAUCAAUUAAGCUGACUAGGCUCCUUUGAUGGGUGUCCGGUGUUCAAAGGCUGCAAACAGCUCCUCUUCGGUAAUGUACGUAGCCUGUUGCUUGUACGGGCUGCCCUAAGGGACCUUAAAAACACUG